Equus caballus (horse) is the source of this 2302-nucleotide long non-coding RNA. Lineage: Eukaryota; Metazoa; Chordata; Mammalia; Perissodactyla; Equidae. The record is from Ensembl.
CACUCUAACUGGGAAAACUCGGAUAAUUUCAGUUCAAUGCUGUGAUUGGUGCUUUAAUAAGGAAGGGCAUGCACAGUGUGCUGUAGGUGCAUAUGAGAAAGCCUUAACCUUAGCUGGAAUGUGCUAUUUUUUCUAGAACUAGCUUCCUGCCUUGUGAAAGAGAGCACAGGUUUUGGGGUCCAUAUAUUGUCUAGAAGCUGGGAUAACACUGAGGGAUGAAUGGUGUACCCUAGGAGAAGAGGGCCUGCCCCAGCGGAUGGCUUCAUGUUAGAGAAGUGACUCAAGGGUAGGGCACCAUGAUUACAACUGAGGGGCUGCAGUGCUAAUACGCAAGUGAUUUAGCAUCUCUGUGAUGUUCCUGUGGAGAUAGAAUCCUCAGAUAGGUAUCCUUGUGGAUAUGGUGGGCUAUAUAUCAAUUUCUCCUCUUCACCUUCCCUGCCACCACGCCAGUCACUGAAAGACAAGAGAAAGUGAAUCUGGAGCAAUGAAGUGGUAGGAGUAGAAACUCUAAGAAAGAGUAGAGAUGCUAUUUCAAUCAACUAAGUUUCGCUUAAGCUAUGAGAUGUUUGUAAUCAGUUUUACCUGUCCCUGAUGUAGGGAAAUGACCUAGAUACAAGGGAGAAGAAUUUUGCAGAAAAUAGUAGUGAAAGGAGCUCCUGCCACAGAAGCAGAGGAACAAGACCUGCUGAUGUUGGGCGCUCGAAUUUGCAAAGUCUACCUCACUGGGAUGUCUGGGGAUGGCGCUCAAAGCAUCCAGCAUGAUGUACUCAUAGCUGGAGUUUUACGCAGGAUGGACUUGUGUGUUGGAAGACUGUAACACAGGCCGGCUCCAAUCAGAUGUCAGGCAAAGUUGGAGAGAGGGAUCUGGGCUUCUUAGGACGAGAGUGGAGACAUUUCUUUCUAUUUCUUCUUUUCAUGAGGUCUUGUCUCUUGCAGGGGUUUUCCUGAAACCAGGAGGUUUUGAUUCCCCCAAAACAAAUUCCAACUUCCUGGAAGUAAUGCUGUUUUGCAUCAUGGAAAAUAUGGUUCUGAAAGUGUUGGCCUAUUCUUGCUGAUGGUUCAGAGUGUACUAGCUGGAAUGCAGCUGACAGGACUAAAAGAAACUGAAGCAUGGAGAGCUCUGAAGUGAUCUGAGGCUGGAGGAAAACUACCUGAAUCGCUAGCUCUUCAGGAUGUUGCCACAUUACAGUGCAGCGCAAACACUGAUGUUAUAGGGAUGAUUCUAGACCAUCAAGAAAAGGGUAAAUUUUAUAUAAUGUACCUUCUGUAAGAAUGACUGGAAACAUAUAAUGUAUUUUAGAAGGUUUUUAUCAAAUUUAUUAAAAUAGAAUCAAUUUGAUACUACAGUGGGUAAGCAUCAGCUACCUGGAAAAUUGAUUUGUGUUGCACCCCUCAUUCCUGAGCUGGGUCAGUGAAAUGAGGUGUGGCUCUAUGAAAUACGAGGGACCGUGAAUGCAACAGCUUUGGAUAUUUAGCUACAGAAUGAACCUCAGCAAUCUUAGCUCAGUUUCCUGCGUCUUCCUGGAAGUAGAGAAUGUUCUGUAACCCAUGAAAUGAAUCACAUUAAAAGAAUGUGAUCCACAAAAUAGACUUCUAUUUUUAAAAAGAUCUGUUCUAUGUACGCAUCCACUAGUUGUACCUUUGCCAUAUAGGUAUAUACAUGUAACAAAGUUGUUAAUCAGGUACUUUAUUCUGUGCUGCUGUUAUCAAGGAAUAGAGAAUGGAACUGGUAGAUCGUGUGUUAUUUCCUUAGAGAAAACAUGCAUUUUACCUGUGAAGACAUAUCCACCACCAGCAAAGUAGAUGCUAUUAUAAAUUCAUGUUCUCCAUCCUAAAUUGGCUUUCCAACACCGGUUGGGGAAAAUAAAACCCAAAUCUUUUGUAUUUCUGUAAUCAUCUCACUGUCCUCAUCUUACAAAAUAAAUUAACCUCGGCUAUUUUUUUGUCCAUCUUUCCAGCCUCUCUGCUUUAGUGUUUUUCAGAGUCCUCCUUCCUUCUUACUUUGUGUAUUUCUAAAUGAUGACAUCUACUUUCAUACUGUUGAAAAUGUUCAGAAGGCAGUUUAAUGAAUUCAGUUAAGCAAGUGGCCACUGGAGUCAGAACCACUUCAGUUUAGAUAACUGUUCUGUUGUUUACCAGCUGGGAAAUCAGGGCAAGUUCCUUAAAUUCUCUACAUUUUUAUUUUCCUUCUAUGUAAAAUGGGCACAAAAGUGGCCCCCUUUAGGUACAUUAGGAUGUCCUAAGGUUUAAAUUAUAUAACCUAUAUAAAACUCUCAGUAUAGAGCCUAGCAAGUAGUAAGAG